Molecule: unclassified non-coding RNA, 336 nt
Filed under: soil metagenome
Description: partial contains 5.8S ribosomal RNA, internal transcribed spacer 2, and large subunit ribosomal RNA
Rfam family: 5.8S ribosomal RNA (bases 1-120)
Source: RNAcentral
GAUGAAGAACGUAGCGAAAUGCGAUAAGUAGUGUGAAUUGCAGAAUUCAGUGAAUCAUCGAAUCUUUGAACGCACAUUGCGCCCCUUGGUAUUCCAUGGGGCAUGCCUGUUCGAGCAUCAUUUGUACCUUCAAGCUCUGCUUGGUGUUGGGUGUUUGUCUCGCCUCUGCGUGUAGACUCGCCUCAAAACAACUGGCAGCCGGCGUAUUGAUUUCGGAGCGCAGUACAUCUCGCGCUUUGCACUCAUAACGACGACGUCCAAAAGUACAUUUUACACUCUUGACCUCGGAUCAGGUAGGGAUACCCGCUGAACUUAAGCAUAUCAAUAAGCGGAGGA